Molecule: ribosomal RNA, 389 nt
Filed under: uncultured bacterium
Lineage: Bacteria
Description: bacterial SSU rRNA
Rfam family: Bacterial small subunit ribosomal RNA
Source: RNAcentral
AUUGAACGCUGGCGGCAUGCCUUACACAUGCAAGUCGAACGGCAGCACGGGAGCAAUCCUGGUGGCGAGUGGCGAACGGGUGAGUAAUGUAUCGGAACGUACCUUUCAGUGGGGGAUAACGUAGCGAAAGUUACGCUAAUACCGCAUAUUCUGUGAGCAGGAAAGCAGGGGAUCGCAAGACCUUGCGCUGAUUGAGCGGCCGAUAUCAGAUUAGCUAGUUGGUGAGGUAAAGGCUCACCAAGGCGACGAUCUGUAGCGGGUCUGAGAGGAUGAUCCGCCACACUGGAACUGAGACACGGUCCAGACUCCUACGGGAGGCAGCAGUGGGGAAUUUUGGACAAUGGGCGCAAGCCUGAUCCAGCCAUGCCGCGUGAGUGGAGAAGGCCUCG